This 315-nucleotide unclassified non-coding RNA is filed under the name Actinia tenebrosa (Australian red waratah sea anemone). RNAcentral describes it as "titin-like, transcript variant X5". Lineage: Eukaryota; Metazoa; Cnidaria; Anthozoa; Actiniaria; Actiniidae. The record is from RNAcentral.
CCAGCGGUCCUCUUUAAUAUUUGUUUGAAUGGAGGACAUUUUCGAUCAGACUGGAGUUCGCUUCGUAUAAAAUCAGAGCUUAUAAUGGCGUUGUAAUCGUUAAGGAGAUAUACCUGUGGCUGUAUUUACAUUGCUCGUAUUAUCUGUUGGCUUGGUAGUGAAUUUUAGGACGUUAACAGUCUCCCAAACGUACCUGCCAAACCCAACAACGCGUCGGCUAUCUUUGGAGGUCACAGCCCUUACGGAUUAAGAGCAACAGAGCCUAGCAUAUUCCGAAGCAAGGAAAAACCCAGCUCAACUCGUAAAUCUGCAAGA